GACGAACGCUGGCGGCGUGCUUAACACAUGCAAGUCGAACGGAAAGGCCCUGCUUUUGUGGGGUGCUCGAGUGGCGAACGGGUGAGUAACACGUGAGUAACCUGCCCUUGACUUUGGGAUAACUUCAGGAAACUGGGGCUAAUACCGGAUAGGAGCUCCUGCUGCAUGGUGGGGGUUGGAAAGUUUCGGCGGUUGGGGAUGGACUCGCGGCUUAUCAGCUUGUUGGUGGGGUAGUGGCUUACCAAGGCUUUGACGGGUAGCCGGCCUGAGAGGGUGACCGGCCACAUUGGGACUGAGAUACGGGCCAGACUCCUACGGGAGGCAGCAGUGGGGAAUAUUGCACAAUGGGCGGAAGCCGGAUGCAGCAACGCCGCGUGCGGGAUGACGGCCUUCGGGUUGUAAACCGCUUUCGCCUGUGACGAAGCGUGAGUGACGGUAAUGGGUAAAGAAGCACCGGCUAACUACGUG
This 468-nucleotide ribosomal RNA is filed under the name uncultured bacterium. RNAcentral describes it as "partial 16S ribosomal RNA". It matches the Rfam family "Bacterial small subunit ribosomal RNA", at positions 28 to 507 of the family's 1533-position model. The record is from RNAcentral.